AUCAGCAUGGCAUAGUGGUUUGAGCCUUAGAUUAUGACUCUAGGGACAAGGGUUCAAAUCCCUGCUCAAC
RNAcentral lists this transfer RNA (70 nucleotides) under Phrynosoma platyrhinos (Desert horned lizard). RNAcentral's name for it is "tRNA-OTHER". Lineage: Eukaryota; Metazoa; Chordata; Lepidosauria; Squamata; Phrynosomatidae. The record is from RNAcentral.